ACGAACGCUGGCGGCGUGCCUAAUACCUGCAAGUAGAACGCUGAAGAGAGGAGCUUGCUCUUCUUGGAUGAGUUGCGAACGGGUGAGUAACGCGUAGGUAACCUGCCUUGUAGCGGGGGAUAACUAUUGGAAACGAUAGCUAAUACCGCAUAACAAUGGAUGACCCAUGUCAUUUAUUUGAAAGGGGCAAAUGCUCCACUACAAGAUGGACCUGCGUUGUAUUAGCUAGUAGGUGAGGUAACGGCUCACCUAGGCGACGAUACAUAGCCGACCUGAGAGGGUGAUCGGCCACACUGGGACUGAGACACGGCCCAGACUCCUACGGGAGGCAGCAGUAGGGAAUCUUCGGCAAUAGGGGCAACCCUGACCGAGCAACGCCGCGUGAGUGAAGAAGGUUUUCGGAUCGUAAAGCUCUGUUGUAAGUCAAGAACGAGUGUGAGAGUGGAAAGUUCACACUGUGACGGUAGCUUACCAGAAAGGGACGGCUAACUACGUG
This 496-nucleotide ribosomal RNA is filed under the name uncultured bacterium. RNAcentral describes it as "partial 16S ribosomal RNA". It matches the Rfam family "Bacterial small subunit ribosomal RNA", at positions 29 to 507 of the family's 1533-position model. The record is from RNAcentral.